CUGGGCGUAAAGCGUCUGUAGGUGGUUUGAUAAGUCAACUGUUAAAUCUUGAGGCUCAACCUCAAAACCGCAGUCGAAACUAUUAGACUAGAGUAUAGUAGGGGUAAAGGGAAUUUCCAGUGGAGCGGUGAAAUGCGUAGAGAUUGGAAAGAACACCGAUGGCGAAGGCACUUUACUGGGCUAUUACUMACACUGAGAGACGAAAGCUAGGGUAGCAAAUGGGAUUAGAUACCCCAGUAGUCCUAGCUGUAAACAAUGGAUACUAGAUGUUGAACAGAUCGACCUGUGCAGUAUCAAAGCUAACGCGUUAAGUAUCCCGCCUGGGAAGUAUGCUCGCAAGAGUGAAACUCAAAGG
Molecule: ribosomal RNA, 355 nt
Filed under: uncultured Elphidium
Lineage: Eukaryota; Foraminifera; Rotaliida; Elphidiidae
Description: bacterial SSU rRNA
Rfam family: Bacterial small subunit ribosomal RNA
Source: RNAcentral